RNAcentral lists this unclassified non-coding RNA (380 nucleotides) under soil metagenome. RNAcentral describes it as "partial contains 5.8S ribosomal RNA, internal transcribed spacer 2, and large subunit ribosomal RNA". The stretch from base 1 to 120 matches the Rfam family "5.8S ribosomal RNA", at positions 35 to 154 of the family's 154-position model. The record is from RNAcentral.
GAUGAAGAACGCAGCGAAAUGCGAUAAGUAAUGUGAAUUGCAGAAUUCAGUGAAUCAUCGAAUCUUUGAACGCACCUUGCACCCUUUGGCAUUCUGAAGGGUAUGCUCGUUUGAGUGUCAUUGUACUCUCACACUCCCGAUCUUUGCAUUGGGAGCAGUGGACUUGGGUUUGCUGCUUCACCGUCGCUUACCUCAAAUAGGUUAGUGCAACUCUUGGUUGGACAUAGUACGGCGUGAUAAGUGUUCUGCGCCGGUGCCUCGCAAAGAGGGUGGCCGAUCGGGAUGUUGUGCUCCAAACCGUCUUCGGACAAUCUCUGACGACUUGACCUCAAAUCGAGUAAGACUACCCGCUGAACUUAAGCAUAUCAAUAAGCGGAGGA